GUGUGUGAUAGUGUUAUACUAGAUUGUGUUAUUUAAAAUAUUUAUAUUAAGAGUUUCUGGUCUCUGCUAGCAGCACUGUGAUUAGAGCACAAAUUGUAACCAAUAUAUAGCAAACUUAAGAGUUGAGUCAACUGUAUGAAAGUUAUAUUCAUCUUAUAUAUGAUAUAGUAUAUAUGCAAGUACAAACAAAACUGUGUCCAUGUACGGAGUUAGUAAUGCCAGAGUGAGAAAGGGUGUAUACAAAUUUGAAACGUUUUUUAUUAUUAUUAUUAUUGUAUUAUGUCAUAUUGCUGUCUGCAUUUCCAGUGACCAGACCAAAAUUUUUCAAAUUUUAUAUUUGGGCGGGGGAUGUUAUAUACCUCUAUUUGGUAUUUCUGGUUACCGGAAAUGUAGGACAUAAUUUAGCCUGUUUAUUGUAUUUUACGGGACUGUAUACCUUUUUAUGCUUGUCGGCGGCGAACAGUUAGUGUCGUCUGUCACCCAUGUGUUUUGUUAGAUGGCAGUAAAAUAAAAUUUGGAAAACGAAAAGCGUGACUUCAAUCCCAUAGUCCCCCCAGACAACAAAAAGGAUUGAGGCCCACGACACAAGGGA
RNAcentral lists this long non-coding RNA (592 nucleotides) under Mytilus galloprovincialis (Mediterranean mussel). The record is from RNAcentral. Lineage: Eukaryota; Metazoa; Mollusca; Bivalvia; Mytilida; Mytilidae.